Molecule: ribosomal RNA, 253 nt
Filed under: uncultured bacterium
Lineage: Bacteria
Description: partial 16S ribosomal RNA
Rfam family: Bacterial small subunit ribosomal RNA
Source: RNAcentral
UACGUAGGGUGCAGGCGUUAAUCGGAAUUACUGGGCGUAAAGCGGGCGCAGGCGGCUUCCUAAGUCAGAUGUGAAAUCCCCGGGCUUAACCUGGGAACUGCGUUUGAAACUGGGAGGCUAGAGUGCGGCAGAGGGAGGUGGAAUUCCACGUGUAGCAGUGAAAUGCGUAGAUAUGUGGAGGAACACCGAUGGCGAAGGCAGCCUCCUGUGCCAGCACUGACGCUCAUGCACGAAAGCGUGGGGAGCAAACAGG